GCCAGGAGCCUACAGGCUUCAUCUUGUGCUCCCUGAGGACCAACUAAUUCACUUGGAGCAGGGCCGGGCGGCUAAUGAAGAGAGCAGGCAGCAACCGCCCCACCCUACUGAACCCUACGUGCAGCUGGCCAGUGUGGCAUUCCUGGGACGCCUCUUCCCCAACCCCACUCACCAGGGUUUAGUAACCACUACUAUGUGAUGCUCUAUGGGUUCCAAAUCUGCCCGAAAUCCUCUGCCAGAGAAGGACUCAACUAACAGGAAAGACACCAAAGACAACACCCGACUUCCACCCACCAGAGACCCCAGGCCAGGGCUCCUUAUGGCUACCUGAAAGGCAAGAACUGUCCAGGAGGCCCAUUUUACAGGUGACAGGUCACCUGGCUGUGUACCUGGAGGAAGGCUGUGUUUCUCCCUUUCCCUUACAGUAUGUGGUCACUUUGUUGGUGUGACUGGCCAGAUAUCCUGCUGAUCUUGCUGAGUGCCUGUUGGGCAUGCCCCAAGGGCUGCUGUGAAAAUGAGGAAGUACGUGCCCGCUCCCAGGAAUGGUGUGACUUUAGACAAGCUCAACUGCUCUGAACUUGUUGCCUCACCUGCUAAAUGGGGGAGUUAGUGCACUGACCUGGAGCUUCAGCCAGGUAUGGGGAUACAUGCCUGUAAUCCCAGCACUUGGGAGGCUAAGACUAGAGGAUCACAAGUUCAAGACUUGCCUGGGCUACAGAGGGGAGAGCCUAUCUCAAAAUAAAAUAAGCACAGUUGUAGUGUGCUUGCCUAGUAUGCGACCCUAGGUUUAAUCCCAAAAAAUCAGAAAAAGAAAAAGAAAUGGAGGAUGAAAGCCUUGGGCCCAUGGCAGCUGUUCUAAAGUACUUCGGCCUUCUAGCAGGGCUCUGUCCUGUGCUUCCUGUCCCCAUGACCCAGUUCCUGCAGCAUUUGGACUGGCAGCAGCUUCCCCAGACUCAGAAUAAUUUACAACUUCUGGCACGCAUGCCUUGUUUGCUUCACACAGACCCCAAACUCGCACACAGGUGACUUGAUUUUCCAACAUCCAAAUUCAAAUACCUGGUCCAGGCAAACCGAUAUACUUAGGGCGUGGAAGGGGCCGAGGUUUGAAGCAAGUCCUUGUCCAACUCUCCAGCUUCCAGCCUUGGCACAUUUGACCACCUGGGGGAGCCCUCUGUCCCCUUCAGUCAGAAAAGUGGGGGAGGGGUAUGGGGGAAGCCAGGCUGAGUGUUAACUCAUCGUUGCUAACCCUCCCCCAAGAUCCAGGGUUUUGGACAAAGAUACCUGGGGUGGGCUGGGGCAGGUGACUUUCUUGGGCACAGUGGAAUCAGAAGGAGCAUGCUGCUGUGUGCCAUGCCUGUCAAAAUGGGCCCACCUGCGCUUGAGAAGAGUAAUGCACUGUGUGUGGGAUCCCUCAAAUCAGCCCAGAUGCCUGGAGCCCUGUGAAGCUCUGAGAAGCACAGCCUGGGUUCUUUGGCCUUUUGCUGCCCCUGAAGUGGGUGAAGGAACCACCAGACGGAGUUCCAGCUUGUGUACAGCAACUGCACAAGACCUGGGAGGUAGCCUCCAUGUCAUCAUCCUCAGUCCCAAGGAUCCCCAGACCUCUGCAGCCGGAGAAACAGAUGGUCUGCUCACCCUCCCUUAUUGUGCCACAGUAAAUAAACCCCAUUGCCCAAGGCU
Nannospalax galili (Upper Galilee mountains blind mole rat) is the source of this 1677-nucleotide long non-coding RNA. RefSeq lists it as uncharacterized. The transcript is spliced from 4 exons. Lineage: Eukaryota; Metazoa; Chordata; Mammalia; Rodentia; Spalacidae. The record is from RefSeq and is a predicted model, not a curated record.